AGAGUUUGAUCCUGGCUCAGGAUGAACGCUGGCGGCGUGCCUAACACAUGCAAGUCGAACGGACUGACAGAUAGCAGAUAGCGACUGGCAGAUAGCUUGCUAUCUACCACAAGCUAUCAGCCAUCAGCCAGUUAGUGGCGAACGGGUGAGUAACACGUAGGUGACCUGCCCCGAAGAGGGGGACAACCGCUGGAAACGGCGGCUAAUACCCCAUGUGGUCAUGAGGGUUAGAGGCCUCAUGAUUAAAGCUCCGGCGCUUCGGGAGGGGCCUGCGGCCUAUCAGCUAGUUGGUGGGGUAAUGGCCCACCAAGGCAAUGACGGGUAGCUGGUCUGAGAGGACGAUCAGCCACACGGGCACUGAGACACGGGCCCGACUCCUACGGGAGGCAGCAGUGAGGGAUAUUGCGCAAUGGGCGAAAGCCUGACGCAGCAACGCCGCGUGGGUGAUGAAGGCCUUCGGGUUGUAAAGCCCUUUUCUGGGGGAAGAGGAAGGACGGUACCCCAGGAAUAAGUCCCGGCUAACUACGUGCCAGCAGCCGCGGUAAUACGUAGGGUGCGAGCGUUAAUCGGAAUUACUGGGCGUAAAGGGUGCGCAGGCGGUUCUGUAAGUCAGAUGUGAAAUCCCCGGGCUUAACCUGGGAACUGCGUUUGAAACUACAGAGCUAGAGUGUGGCAGAGGGGGGUGGAAUUCCAUGUGUAGCAGUGAAAUGCGUAGAGAUAUGGAAGAACAUCGAUGGCGAAGGCAGCCCCCUGGGUCAACACUGACGCUCAUGCACGAAAGCGUGGGGAGCAAACAGGAUUAGAUACCCUGGUAGUCC
RNAcentral lists this ribosomal RNA (818 nucleotides) under uncultured bacterium. RNAcentral describes it as "bacterial SSU rRNA". It matches the Rfam family "Bacterial small subunit ribosomal RNA", at positions 8 to 796 of the family's 1533-position model. The record is from RNAcentral.